AAAGAAUGAAGACAUCCAUUGGAGCAUUCUUUAUGUCCUUUUGGCUGCAGCUGGACUGUGUCAGCCGAGGAGAGAAAGUGGAUCAGCAUCCUUCUACCCUGAGUGUCCAGGAGGGAAACACCUCUGUCAUCACCUGUUCUUAUUCAGACAGUGACUCACAAUACUUUCCGUGGUACAAGCAAGAAGCUGGAAAAGGUCCCCAGUUCAUUAUACACAUUUGUUCAAAUGAGAAUGAAAAGCAGUAUGGAAAACUCACUGUUUUAUUGAAUAAGACAGCCAGAUGUUUCUCCCUGCACAUCAAAAACACCCAGCCUGGAGACUCAGCUGUGUACCUCUGUGCAGCGAGUACACAUUUCCUCCCAAGCCCCUGA
Non-coding RNA from Phyllostomus discolor (pale spear-nosed bat), 371 nucleotides. The record is from the annotation of a RefSeq genome assembly. NCBI's taxonomy places the organism in Eukaryota, Metazoa, Chordata, Mammalia, Chiroptera, Phyllostomidae.